This 31-nucleotide non-coding RNA is filed under the name Rattus norvegicus (Norway rat). Lineage: Eukaryota; Metazoa; Chordata; Mammalia; Rodentia; Muridae. The record is from RNAcentral.
UCCUCCAUAACUGAAGCCUAGCAGAGGUCUC